This 139-nucleotide ribosomal RNA is filed under the name uncultured bacterium. RNAcentral describes it as "partial 16S rRNA". It matches the Rfam family "Eukaryotic small subunit ribosomal RNA", at positions 432 to 570 of the family's 1831-position model. The record is from RNAcentral.
GCGCGCAAAUUACCCAAUCCUGACACGGGGAGGUAGUGACAAUAAAUAACAAUACCGGGCGCGUUAGUGUCUGGUAAUUGGAAUGAGUACAAUCUAAAUCCCUUAACAAGGAUCCAUUGGAGGGCAAGUCUGGUGCCAG